AGGACGAACGCUGGCGGCGUGCUUAACACAUGCAAGUCGAGCGGUAAGGCCCUUCGGGGUACACGAGCGGCGAACGGGUGAGUAACACGUGAGCAAUCUGCCCUCCACAUCGGGAUAACCCCCGGAAACGGGAGCUAAUACCGGAUACGACCACUUCAGGCAUCUGAUGGUGGUGGAAAGUUCUGGCGGUGGAGGAUGAGCUCGCGGCCUAUCAGCUUGUUGGUGGGGUAAUGGCCCACCAAGGCUUCGACGGGUAGCCGGCCUGAGAGGGUGACCGGCCACACUGGGACUGAGACACGGCCCAGACUCCUACGGGAGGCAGCAGUGGGGAAUAUUGGACAAUGGGCGAAAGCCUGAUCCAGCAACGCCGCGUGAGGGAUGACGGCCUUCGGUUGUAACCUCUUCAGCGCAGACGAAGCGAAAGUGACGGUAUGCGCAGAAGAAGCACCGGCCAACUACGCGCCAGCAGCCGC
This 473-nucleotide ribosomal RNA is filed under the name uncultured bacterium. RNAcentral describes it as "SSU rRNA". It matches the Rfam family "Bacterial small subunit ribosomal RNA", at positions 26 to 518 of the family's 1533-position model. The record is from RNAcentral.